UUAACCUACGGGGCGCAGCGGUAGGGAAUAUUGCUCAAUUUUUUAAACCCUGAAGCAGCAACGCCGCGUGGAGGAUGAAGGUUUUCGGAUUGUAAACUCCUUUUGUUAGAGAAGAUAAUGACGGUAUCUAACGAAUAAGCACCGGCUAACUCCGUGCCAGCAGCCGCGGUAAUACGGAGGGUGCAAGCGUUACUCGGAAUCACUGGGCGUAAAGAGCGCGUAGGCGGGAUAGCAAGUCAGAUGUGAAAUCCUAUGGCUUAACCAUAGAACUGCAUUUGAAACUGUUAUUCUAGAGUAUGGGAGAG
RNAcentral lists this ribosomal RNA (305 nucleotides) under uncultured bacterium. RNAcentral describes it as "bacterial SSU rRNA". It matches the Rfam family "Bacterial small subunit ribosomal RNA", at positions 334 to 656 of the family's 1533-position model. The record is from RNAcentral.